CCUACGGGUGGCAGCAGUGGGGAAUAUUGGACAAUGGGGGAAACCCUGAUCCAGCGACGCCGCGUGACUGAAGAAGUAUUUCGGUAUGUAAAGGUCUAUCAGCAGGGAAGGAAAUGACGGUACCUGACUAAGAAGCCCCGGCUAACUACGUGCCAGCAGCCGCGGUAAUACGUAGGGGGCAAGCGUUAUCCGGAUUUACUGGGUGUAAAGGGAGCGUAGACGGCAAUGCAAGUCUGGAGUGAAAACCCGGGGCUCAACCCCGGGACUGCUUUGGAAACUGUGUUGCUAGAGUGCAGGAGAGGUAAGUGGAAUUCCUAGUGUAGCGGUGAAAUGCGUAGAUAUUAGGAGGAACACCAGUGGCGAAGGCGGCUUACUGGACUGUAACUGACGUUGAGGCUCGAAAGCGUGGGGAGCGAACAGGAUUAGAUACCCCAGUAGUC
Molecule: ribosomal RNA, 440 nt
Filed under: uncultured bacterium
Lineage: Bacteria
Description: bacterial SSU rRNA
Rfam family: Bacterial small subunit ribosomal RNA
Source: RNAcentral